UACAGAGGUCUCAAGCGUUGUUCGGAUUCAUUGGGCGUAAAGGGUGCGUAGGUGGCGCUGUAAGUCGGGUGUGAAAUUUCGGAGCUUAACUCCGAAGCUGCAUUCGAUACUGCGGUGCUUGAGGACUGGAGAGGAGACUGGAAUUUAUGGUGUAGCAGUGAAAUGCGUAGAGAUCAUAAGGAAGACCAGUGGCGAAGGCGGGUCUCUGGACAGUUCCUGACACUGAGGCACGAAGGCCAGGGGAGCAAACGGG
RNAcentral lists this ribosomal RNA (253 nucleotides) under uncultured bacterium. RNAcentral's name for it is "partial 16S ribosomal RNA". It matches the Rfam family "Bacterial small subunit ribosomal RNA", at positions 524 to 776 of the family's 1533-position model. The record is from RNAcentral.